RNAcentral lists this transfer RNA (90 nucleotides) under Chengkuizengella axinellae. RNAcentral describes it as "tRNA-Ser". It matches the Rfam family "tRNA". Rfam says of the family: Transfer RNA (tRNA) molecules are approximately 80 nucleotides in length. Their secondary structure includes four short double-helical elements and three loops (D, anti-codon, and T loops). Lineage: Bacteria; Bacillati; Bacillota; Bacilli; Caryophanales; Paenibacillaceae. The record is from RNAcentral.
GGAGAGGUGGUCGAGCGGCUUAAGGCACUGGUCUUGAAAACCAGCGAUGGGGGGACUCAUCCGUGGGUUCAAAUCCCACCCUCUCCGCCA